UACGGGGGGAGCAAGCGUUGUUCGGAUUUACUGGGCGUAAAGGGCGCGUAGGCGGCGCAACAAGUCACUUGUGAAAUCUCCGGGCUUAACCCGGAGCGGCCAAGUGAUACUGUCGUGCUAGAGUGCGGAAGGGGCUACUGGAAUUCCAGGUGUAGCGGUGAAAUGCGUAGAUAUCUGGAGGAACACCGGUGGCGAAGGCGGCGUCCUGGACCAACACUGACACUGAUGAGCGAAAGCCAGGGGAGCAAACGGG
RNAcentral lists this ribosomal RNA (253 nucleotides) under uncultured bacterium. Its description in RNAcentral is "partial 16S ribosomal RNA". It matches the Rfam family "Bacterial small subunit ribosomal RNA", at positions 524 to 776 of the family's 1533-position model. The record is from RNAcentral.